RNAcentral lists this long non-coding RNA (423 nucleotides) under Rattus norvegicus (Norway rat). RNAcentral's name for it is "long non-coding RNA NONRATT000605". Lineage: Eukaryota; Metazoa; Chordata; Mammalia; Rodentia; Muridae. The record is from RNAcentral.
UUUUUUUUUUUUUUUGUCUCUAUCCAGACGUUAAUUAGAUCCUGCCCUCAGGAGAUGACGUGUCCCAUCCUGGUGGCCUCAGCUCUCAUCUGUCCCUCCUUCUGUUAGCUGGUGCUCAGACAGGGGUUUGGGGAAAAGGCAGACAGCAGUAUGACCCUGCCUGUCCCCUGGGCAAAUGCAGAUGAGACUCCAAGUUCCCUUUGCUGUCACAGCUCCACCUUUGCCCCAGGAAUGGAUGCUGAUACUCCAAUCUCUGUCCCCAGGAACCUACCUCGUGCCAUCUUCAUUUCCAUCCCACUGGUCACCUUUGUGUACACAUUCACCAAUGUUGCCUACUUCACUGCCAUGUCCCCCCAGGAGCUGCUGUCCUCCAACGCAGUGGCUGUGACCUUCGGCGAGAAGCUGCUGGGCUACUUUUCGUGG